Homarus americanus (American lobster) is the source of this 2200-nucleotide long non-coding RNA. RefSeq lists it as uncharacterized. The record is from RefSeq and is a predicted model, not a curated record. NCBI's taxonomy places the organism in Eukaryota, Metazoa, Arthropoda, Malacostraca, Decapoda, Nephropidae. The transcript is spliced from 2 exons.
UUUUGUUCUGGUGCUAACGGUCUCCUUCACCUUUACUCAUUAUAAUGUUUUACAGUGUUGUGUGUUAUAUAGUUAUUGGUUACAUUUCCAGGAAGCUUGAAGGACCAGCAACACAUCUCGGUAUGACUCAACUGUACACACUGUCCAGACCCAUAUAUUAUGACGGCACCAAUGACAACUGAUGAAACACAGCUGACCUGUGGGAGGUGUUUCGCAUAUUAUCCGAGUCAACAGAAGGAGUUCGUCUUUGCGAUCAGCUCCUUCCGACCAUCUCCGAGAUGUCAUCCGGAGAGUUGAACUUUGCUCUUGCCAUCCGGUCUCUUCUCCAGAGUAUCGUCAGAGGUACAAUGAUUUAUAUUAAGAAUAUCUUCAAUAUAAUUAGCCCUACCAUUUCAAGUGGAUGAAUUUUUAAUUAGUAAGAAUCAUGAUACCACUUAAAAAGUUGUCAAUUUGCUUUAAAAGGGUAUUUGUGGGGGAUAAAUGUAAAGGUGUACAUAUAAAUGCAAAGAUACAUGAAAAUAUUGAGUGUUUUAUUAUGAGGUACAGCACAGUACAAGCUUUUAGGUAUGAUUUUGUCACCGCUAAAUCUGCAUUACACAUUUUGUAUUCUACUUUUAUUUCCAAAAUCUGGUUAAACUGUCUGGGUUUUUCUCACAGUAGGAGCAGAAAUAGGCACUCCUUGAUUAAUCACGCCUCCAUCACUGUGUCAAGCUCUGCUGACCUGGCUCUGUGCGGUGAUUUACUCUCUAAUGUGCUCAUGUUUUUGUCAAUUGUUGAUGGAAUGUGGCUGUGUACUAUUUACACUUUGGAGGUCACAUUGAAGCAACACUUAGCAAUGAUAGGGAAUUACGCAGUGCAGUAUAUAUUUUAUUUCAAUAUUGUUGCUGCUAGUGAGUUGUACUAAACAAGUAUCCACUAUGUAUUUCAUAACAUUGUAAUUUCUUUUGGCAUUCUCAAUUUUUGUUUCGGAUAUACUGUAUAUAUAGGGAUGCUGUAAUCUAAAAUUAGGUUUUGCAUACAUCAAGAGUACGUUUGUGGCUCCUCACGAGUUGUACUUGCUCAGAAAUAUAUACUGUACAGUAAUGUUAUAUACAGGUUGCACUUAAAAAAAUCCAAACAUCAUUUAUCCCAAAACUGUGAACAUCCAAAAGUGAUCGCAUUGAUUAUAAAAAUUUACCGCGCUGCCAGAUGAUGGCGUUUCAGCACACUAAGCUAAGAUAUCAUCACCGGGGCAUUUUCUCGUAGUCGGUCCCCGAGUUACACCCUCCGACUCGCCGUCACCCGCACUUACGAACGGGAUACCAAUACAUUCACCUCAAAAAGUUGUAAUUAAACUGUCAUUAUUUUCAUCAUUGUUUAACAGCACUUUAUUUGUUAUGUAACCUAAAGUAUGGGUCCAGGAACUUAUCCCUGUUGUAAGUUGGGGACGGCCUGUAUUAUUAUUAACAUUAUAUUUUGAGUUCCUUAGUUUAGUGUGUUUGUUAUACCUGUACAUGCAGUAUUAUAUAUUAGUUUAUAGUUGUCAUAUAUGUAGUAUUUUAUUUGGUGCUUAAUGAAAUAUUAGGGUUUUUAAUAAUGACCUUGAGUUGGCCAACAAGUUCAGUUAUCUGAAACAUUUUGGAUUUUUGAAGUGGAACCUAUAUUUCAACUCCCUCCUCAAAAUAUUAAUGUACUAUAGGAACAGAAAUGGUUGAUUUAAAUUAUUGCUCCAAACUGCACCACACCCAAAAUAUAUACCAUAGUGCCAUCUUUGGCAUAUACAGUAAAUGAACUUUUGUAAACUGUACUGUACAUACUUAAUGUCACAUGAUGUGACAAUGUUUGUUUUGUCAAGUGAUGUAUAGUGCAUGUCGUUAGUGUAACGGUCGGUGCCAAAUCGUCGUUAUUUGGCGCCAUUCAUUUUUAGAUAUACCUGUAUCUCAUUUAUGAGACAUUGUUUAUCUAAGCCAAGAGUUGUUACGUCUUGCAUAUUUCACCUCCGUCGUCAGAAAAUGUAAAGGCGCGAUGUUGAGCAAUUUGUUGCCAGACUAUGGAUGAUAGAUAAGAUCUGUACAUAUCAUAUUAAGUCUUCAACACAAGAUAUUUAUUGUCAACUCUAAAUUAAAUAUGUUGUGAAUAAAACUUUUCAAUUUGGUCUUGUCUCGUGUCAUGCCUUUAUACAGGUGUGUUACCAAAGUCAGAAUAAAAGAUUGUCUCCGGC